UUGCCAAGCUUCUAAGUUGCUCGCCUACUGACUUACUUAAUGCUGCCAAUUGGCGAUUAUAUAAUGUACAGUUACGAGAGAACUGACCUCUCAUCAGACAUAACGUGUCAUAUAUUGCAGAGAGAGAGAGAGAGAGAGAGAAGAAAGAAAGAAAAAAGCAAGCUGCCGCUCUAUCAAGUUUCCAGUUUCCAGUGUUGUGAAUACUGUUGUGGAUGAUAUUGUGGUGUCCAAUUGAGAAUUUGCAUAGUGCGAUAACGAUAACAAGUCGAUCACAGUGUGUUUAUCGGCAGGAAUUGUAGCUGGUGCUUCCAUUUUGACACAGCGAGAAAUAGAGAGAGAGAGAGAGAGAGAGAGA
This is a long non-coding RNA of Drosophila innubila, 355 nucleotides long. RefSeq lists it as uncharacterized. NCBI's taxonomy places the organism in Eukaryota, Metazoa, Arthropoda, Insecta, Diptera, Drosophilidae. The transcript has 2 exons. The record is from RefSeq and is a predicted model, not a curated record.